AAGUAUCAAGCUAUGUGUGUGUGAAAUUUGGAAGGAUUUGGAGAUGAUUUGUGCAAGAUAUUGAGAAGAAAAAUGAAGAACUCCUUGGGUUGUUUUUGCAGCUGAUGGCCGGCCACUUUUUGAGGAAGAGAGAGAGUGUUUUGAUCUGAUAUAGCUUCCUAGGAAAGCUUUAUUUGUGGGGCUAAGAUUGGUACAAAAGUCAACUCUUCAAUAGUGCGCGUACGCGCGUUUUGUGCUCGAUUCCUCUCGCGUUCAUUUCACUAGUGCACUAAACCUCCAAUAUACUUAUAAUAAUAUUAAUAUUAUUUACUCUUAAUUAUCCCAAAAUAAAGGUCUAAAGUCCUUCAAUUAAGUCACGUGUGUAAAAACGCGUAUCUCCAAAUUAAGCGCGUUAAAACGAAACUUCCAAGAAAUUCUUAUAACGAUGGUACUAAUAACUAUCACUUGAAUAUUUAAAUACAUAAAUACCUAUCUUAGGACCAUUAUACGAGUCUCCAACUUUCCCAACUUACGGUAUCUUUGAAUCGAUUAUUGACUCCAAUCGCGUAUUCACUAUUUUCAAUUAACGAGUUUUCAAAAAUUAAAUUUUGAAACGAAUCACUUUAAAAAUAUAACGAAACUAUAAAUCCAUUUAAUUAGCUCUAAAGAGGUUAGAAAGUAAUAUUCGGACUAAAUGGGUAAUUAAAUAUUUAAAUAAACUCGAAAUGAAAUUUUAAAAUAAUAAAAAUUUUGUGAGACAUCACAUCCUCUCCCCCUUA
This 758-nucleotide long non-coding RNA is filed under the name Coffea arabica (coffee). RNAcentral's name for it is "long non-coding RNA (CARA_LNC005898)". The record is from RNAcentral. Lineage: Eukaryota; Viridiplantae; Streptophyta; Magnoliopsida; Gentianales; Rubiaceae.